Non-coding RNA from Vigna radiata var. radiata (mung bean), 71 nucleotides. NCBI's taxonomy places the organism in Eukaryota, Viridiplantae, Streptophyta, Magnoliopsida, Fabales, Fabaceae. The record is from Rfam.
GUGCUUCGGACAAGUUACUCGGAUUCCCCUUCAAGGCAUCCUUGUUGAUGCAGACCCGGGUUUCUGAAGCA